GGCUCAGGACGAACGCUGGCGGCGUGCCUAAUACAUGCAAGUCGAACGGUCUUUCUAUGGAAGCUUGCUUCCACUGAGAAGAUAGUGGCGAACGGGUGAGUAACACGUGGGUAACCUGCCCAUAAGAGGGGGAUAACAUCCGGAAACGGGUGCUAAUACCGCAUAGUUUUCUUGAUCGCAUGAUUGAGAAAGGAAAGACGGCCUUUGUGCUGUCGCUUAUGGAUGGACCCGCGGCGUAUUAGUUAGUUGGUGAGGUAACGGCUCACCAAGACGAUGAUACGUAGCCGACCUGAGAGGGUGAUCGGCCACAUUGGGACUGAGACACGGCCCAAACUCCUACGGGAGGCAGCAGUAGGGAAUCUUCCGCAAUGGACGAAAGUCUGACGGAGCAACGCCGCGUGAGUGAAAGAAGGUUUUCGGAUCGUAAAACUCUGUUGUCAGAGAAGAACAAGUUGGAGAGUAACUGCUCCAGCCUUGACGGUAUCUGACCAGAAAGCCACGGCUAACUACGUGCCAGCCGCGGC
RNAcentral lists this ribosomal RNA (524 nucleotides) under uncultured bacterium. RNAcentral describes it as "bacterial SSU rRNA". It matches the Rfam family "Bacterial small subunit ribosomal RNA", at positions 21 to 518 of the family's 1533-position model. The record is from RNAcentral.